CUAGUAACCGCAGGUCAGCACACUGCGGUGAAUACGUUCCCGGGCCUUGUACACACCGCCCGUCACGUCAUGGGAGCCGGGAAGACCCGAAGUCGCUGAGCUAACCCCUAGGGGAGGCAGGUGCCGAGGGUCGGCCUGGUGACUGGGACGAAGUCGUAACAAGGUAGCUGUAUCGGAAGGUGCGGCUGGAUCACCUCCUUU
This 201-nucleotide ribosomal RNA is filed under the name Dehalococcoidia bacterium. Its description in RNAcentral is "partial 16S ribosomal RNA". It matches the Rfam family "Bacterial small subunit ribosomal RNA", at positions 1335 to 1533 of the family's 1533-position model. Lineage: Bacteria; Bacillati; Chloroflexota; Dehalococcoidia. The record is from RNAcentral.